This 60-nucleotide non-coding RNA is filed under the name Pseudoclavibacter sp. 8L. RNAcentral's name for it is "msiK". It matches the Rfam family "msiK RNA". Lineage: Bacteria; Bacillati; Actinomycetota; Actinomycetes; Micrococcales; Microbacteriaceae. The record is from RNAcentral.
GCUCCUCACCUAUUACUACGGAUCGUCCGGCACGUACCUGCCGGUAAUGAGGGAGUACUC